RNAcentral lists this ribosomal RNA (441 nucleotides) under Triticum aestivum (bread wheat). RNAcentral describes it as "partial small subunit ribosomal RNA". The record is from RNAcentral. Lineage: Eukaryota; Viridiplantae; Streptophyta; Magnoliopsida; Poales; Poaceae.
AUGAGAGGCGCCACCUCUGCCUCCACCCCCACUGGGAAAGGAGCUCGAGGUGAACAGGAGGUGUGGAAAGGCGAGAGGAAGCAAGAGCUCGUCCCUCCUCCCAUGGCCGCCUCGUGGAUCUGGAGUACAAGGAGGACAACACGUGCCUGUUGCAGGCGGCUUGAGCGACGCGAACCAGUUGGUAAACAUGGAAAGCCAAGAAAAUUAUAUAGCUUACUUACAUUAUUGUUUGAUCAAUUGCUUUGCGUCAGGCUCACUAAUGGAGCAUGCCUAAUCUUGGACUGCAUUUAUUGCCUGGUGUUGGGUGCUUUGGAUGGUGGUCUUGAUAUUCCGCAUAGUGACAAGAGAUUUGGUGGCUUCAAGAAGGAUGAGAAGCAGCUGGACACUAAGAUUCACCUCAAAUUCAUUUAUGAAGAUCAUGUUGUUGACUGCAUGAAGGUG